CCUACGGGGGGCAGCAGUGAGGAAUAUUGGUCAAUGGACGAGAGUCUGAACCAGCCAAGUAGCGUGAAGGAUGACUGCCCUAUGGGUUGUAAACUUCUUUUAUAUGGGAAUAAAACGUUCCACGUGUGGGAUUUUGUAUGUACCAUAUGAAUAAGGAUCGGCUAACUCCGUGCCAGCAGCCGCGGUAAUACGGAGGAUCCGAGCGUUAUCCGGAUUUAUUGGGUUUAAAGGGAGCGUAGGUGAAUUGUUAAGUCAGUUGUGAAAGUUUGCGGCUCAACCGUAAAAUUGCAGUUGAAACUGGCAGUCUUGAGUACAGUAGAGGUGGGCGGAAUUCGUGGUGUAGCGGUGAAAUGCUUAGAUAUCACGAAGAACUCCGAUUGCGAAGGCAGUUCACUGGACUGCAACUGACACUGAGGCUCGAAAGUGUGGGUAUCAAACAGGAUUAGAUACCCGAGUAGUC
Molecule: ribosomal RNA, 460 nt
Filed under: uncultured bacterium
Lineage: Bacteria
Description: partial 16S ribosomal RNA
Rfam family: Bacterial small subunit ribosomal RNA
Source: RNAcentral